GGGAGAGAUGGAGACCCGUACACUGUCAAAAGAGGAAUAAAUCCAAAACAGGCUUGAAUAUAGAUGUUUGACACUGAUGUCUUGAUGCCGAAACGUUUUAAAUUCCGCACUUUUCUGCACAAUGAAAACUCAUGAUGCCCAAUAAAACCUCUAUUUUGUGUAUUUAAGCCUCAGUUUUGAAUGUAUUCCUCUUGUUUUAUUUUACAGUGUGUGUGUGUCUAUCGCUUCCAGUAUUCUCAUUUUGAUACCUACUCACCUGGAACAGACACUAUUUGGUUUAAAGGACCUUUAAGGGUGAUGGGGAGUUAGAGUAGUUUGGAUGGGUCUUUCACCACCUUAUCACAGGACCAUGAAACCUGUACCAAUCCAACCAAAAGAACUGCCCACUUUCCACCUACUACCCCUCUGAAGCUUUACCUACCCACUGCCCACCUCGCCCGCUGGUUGGGCUCUUCUGGCUCCAGUGCUAAGAAAGGACUUGGACCAAGCCAUUCUGAAUCAAAUAAUUGAGCUAAUAAUCUUUCAUUUGAAAAAGAGAUCAUCCAAUAACUUUUUGACAGUGCAGAGUGAGAGGAGAGUGAUUUACAUACAGUAUGACAAAUUCAGUGUUCAAUGAUGUAGUUUUAUUUUUUACAAGACAUUGUAUGGAUUUUCUGAAUGUGAGAUGUAUGUUGUGACAAUCAUAUCACCCCCCCCACACACAAAAACAAACAAAAAACUACUUUUUAAAUGUAUUUGGAGAUUUUCAAUUAGUAGCGAAUGCUGUUUUUCUUUCUGUGUUUCUAAUGCACUCCAUGGGGCUCGAUGGACCAUAGUGUAGGGGUACUUUGGUUCAGUUUACAGGGCUAUGUGAGAGAGGCUUUGAUGAGAGGGAACAAUAUAUUUGCCCAAAUGAUGCACUCUAAAGCAUGAGUCACAGGACAGAGAAUUAGUGAAAAAUGAUUGAAUUCUGUUCUCAAGGAAAUAUUCUUGUCAUUGUAAUGUAGUCCAUUCAAACCCCUUACCAAGUAUUGACCAAAGAUGGUUCAUGUGAUUUUUGGAAAGUCUUGCAGUAUUCUACUGUAGUUAUUUUGUUAUAGCAUCAUAUCCAGCAUCUCAAUAGCUAGUGAUGUUUCCACAUGACACUGAGUUAUGAGUGAAGUCAUACUGUACUUGGUUAAAAUGGGUUGUAGAAGUGACUUGGACCCUUCUCUCCUGCAUUGUGUCGAUUUUAUUCAUUUUAACACUCAUUGCUCACUGAAGUUGUUGGUUUAACGUUGCUGUUUCUAGCCAAUGCAUGUUUGUCCCCAUGACCAUGCUUUUUAAAAUGUUUCCAAUAAUGGGUCAAAGCCAUCACAACACUUGCUGCCUCCAUUAUCUUGUGCACUGGGUGCCAGACAGAGUAAACUAAGCAGAUUUUGUUUGACUAAAGAUUAAGGGCUGGACUCAAUCUGUAUCGUGGAAGAUCGGUGUUAAAUUUAAAGGUAAUUUUUUGACAUUCAGUUGACAUAUGCAGCGUUUAAUGUGAAUGCAGUCUUUGAAAUGCCUUUUUGAGGUGGCAGGUAGCCUAUUGGUUAGAGCGUUGGGCCAGUAACAGAACGGUUGCUGAAUCGAAUCCCCGAGCUGACAUGGUAAAAAUCUGUCGUUCUGCCCCUGGACAAGGCAGUGAGCCCACCUACCCCCAGUCGGCCUUCAUUGUAAAUUAAGAAUUUGUUAUUAACUGACGUGCCUAGUUAAAUAAAGAUUUGAUUUGUUUCAAAUUUGUAAGAAAAAAACAUUGAGUUAUAGUGUGGAUUUUCCACGAUGUAGAUUAAAACCAGCCCAAAGAUUCUGUGUUGAGAAAAUGAAUUGCGCUUUGUACAUAUACCCACAUUUCUCAAAGUUUGUAUGUUUCAAUUGUCAAGCUCAAUGAGAUCCCUAUCCAACAUCAGCAGGCUGAACUGAAUUUUAUGUUACUGAGUAAAAUGUAUCGGUAUAUCAACAGAAUACGGUUUCAUUUUUCCAUUGUCAGUUUUUGUCUCUAUUUUGAUGAGCCAUACUUGGCACUGCCUUGUCUUGUAUCUUCUGACUACUACAUGCGUUUAACAGUGCUGAGAAGGCCACCACAGCUUCAGGCUAACUGCUGCUGUGAAU
Molecule: long non-coding RNA, 2112 nt
Organism: Oncorhynchus tshawytscha (Chinook salmon)
Lineage: Eukaryota; Metazoa; Chordata; Actinopteri; Salmoniformes; Salmonidae
Source: Ensembl